RNAcentral lists this ribosomal RNA (253 nucleotides) under uncultured bacterium. RNAcentral describes it as "partial 16S ribosomal RNA". It matches the Rfam family "Bacterial small subunit ribosomal RNA", at positions 524 to 776 of the family's 1533-position model. The record is from RNAcentral.
UACGUAGGGCGCAAGCGUUGUCCGGAAUUAUUGGGCGUAAAGAGCUCGUAGGCGGUUUGUCACGUCGGCUGUGAAAACCCGAGGCUCAACCUCGGGCCUGCAGUCGAUACGGGCAGACUAGAGUGCUGUAGGGGAGACUGGAAUUCCUGGUGUAGCGGUGGAAUGCGUAGAGAUCGGGAAGAACACCAGUGGCGAAGGCGGUCUGCUGGGCCGUUGCUGACGCUGAUGCGCGACAGCGUGGGGAGCAAACAGG